RNAcentral lists this ribosomal RNA (468 nucleotides) under uncultured bacterium. RNAcentral describes it as "partial 16S ribosomal RNA". It matches the Rfam family "Bacterial small subunit ribosomal RNA", at positions 28 to 507 of the family's 1533-position model. The record is from RNAcentral.
GACGAACGCUGGCGGCGUGCUUAACGCAUGCAAGUCGAACGGAAAGGCCCUGCUUUUGUGGGGUGCUCGAGUGGCGAACGGGUGAGUAACACGUGAGUAACCUGCCCUUGACUUUGGGAUAACUUCAGGAAACUGGGGCUAAUACCGGAUAGGAGCUCCUGCUGCAUGGUGGGGGUUGGAAAGUUUCGGCGGUUGGGGAUGGACUCGCGGCUUAUCAGCUUGUUGGUGGGGUAGUGGCUUACCAAGGCUUUGACGGGUAGCCGGCCUGAGAGGGUGACCGGCUACAUUGGGACUGAGAUACGGCCCAGACUCCUACGGGAGGCAGCAGUGGGGAAUAUUGCACAAUGGGCGGAAGCCUGAUGCAGCAACGCCGCGUGCGGGAUGACGGCCUUCGGGUUGUAAACCGCUUUCGCCUGUGACGAAGCGUGAGUGACGGUAAUGGGUAAAGAAGCACCGGCUAACUACGUG